CACAGAUGUGCUGCAGAGCCGUCGGUAGCUUGCUCACCAGCAUGAGCAGCAAGCACCAAAUGACUUAAUUAGGUGGCUAGUAGUGGCUACUAGUAGUGGCUACAUUGUAGUAAUUUAGCUGUCUUCCCAAAUGCGGAGCAACACAGGGAUUCCUACCUCACGACUAGUGCCAGGAUCAUAUUGCUGUGGACAGUGCCAAUGAUAAUCACGAAAUCUAGAGCUACUGGCCACUCACUAUAGGGAGAAGGGAGUAAUCCUGUAUUUGUGUAGAAGAAAAUGGACCCUGGGAGGCGAGGGAGGAAUAGUGAAUAGCAGUGGGCGAUGUUGAAGGCUGAGUUUCUAGCGCUGAUGACAGUUGAGUUUCUCUCUCCUCUCCUAACCCCCAAAAACAACUGCUCCCCGGGUGCCGAUGACGUGGAUUAAGGCAUCCCCCCGCACCUCUCUGAUUCAGAGGGUUGGGUUAAAUGAGGAAGACAAAUUUUGGUUGAAUGCAUUCAGUUGUGCAACUGACUAGAUAUCCCCUUUCCCUCUACUGCAAAACCAAACUGCUGUUUGUCAGGCUAGGGAGGCAGCAGACUCAUAGCAAGGCACUUAACUCUAAUUGCUUCAGGGCGAUGUACUGUAUAAUGGUGACCCUGGCCGUGACCCCACUCCCUGUGGGUGUCUCAGGGGGAGUUGAGACAUGCAACAACAAAAAAACAUUUCCAUUACACACUUGUAACAGGACAAAUUAAAGCACCACCCAAAUUAUUAUUAUUUUAUUAUAGCAGCAGUGUCAUUCUACAUCUCUCGCUCUCUGCACCUGUUAGUGUGUGGGUAGCACUCUUCUGCAGUCAAUUACCAAAAGCACCCUCUUUGGUCUCAUGGGUGGAAUGAUUCAUAUUUUUCAUCAUUUCAUAACUAAUAAAGUUUUAUUUAAUUAA
Oncorhynchus keta (chum salmon) is the source of this 923-nucleotide long non-coding RNA. RefSeq lists it as uncharacterized. Lineage: Eukaryota; Metazoa; Chordata; Actinopteri; Salmoniformes; Salmonidae. The record is from RefSeq and is a predicted model, not a curated record. The transcript is spliced from 4 exons.